RNAcentral lists this transfer RNA (76 nucleotides) under Micromonospora parathelypteridis. RNAcentral describes it as "tRNA-Arg". Lineage: Bacteria; Bacillati; Actinomycetota; Actinomycetes; Micromonosporales; Micromonosporaceae. The record is from RNAcentral.
CGGUCGGGCCAGCACCGGCCGGCUGGCCGCCGGCUUCGGGCUGGCUCUGGUGCCGAUCGUGGCCGCGCCGGUCGCC